This 207-nucleotide long non-coding RNA is filed under the name Manihot esculenta (cassava). Its description in RNAcentral is "long non-coding RNA (MESC_LNC005159)". Lineage: Eukaryota; Viridiplantae; Streptophyta; Magnoliopsida; Malpighiales; Euphorbiaceae. The record is from RNAcentral.
UCACUCUGGAUCAGACAAAUUGUGCGGAGCUAGUGGACCAACGAGGAAAGGGCUACCCGUGUGAGACGAGGUGGAGCUAUCCGAGGUACUAGCGAACCAUAAUACCCAAAGGUCCGGUCCUCGUUUAGUAAUUGUAUUCGUCCAGUUGCGACGAGAACGUUACAAAUUUAGCAGGGGAGAGUGUAACAUUCACCUGCUAGCUUGUGG